UAGGUCAAUAACACUGAUUGCGUGUAACGUUAAAAACAAAUCCGAAGCACACUUUCUCUUCACACGUCGCAGUACGUCGUGGACACUCCACAGCUACCAAUAAAGAAAUUAGUACCACAGUAUAAUCAUAUGCGCAACGAUAAAUUCUCUAAAAGCAAAAGCAACUAUUGAAGGAAAUACUUAAUCUACGAAUGACUAAGUCAUAAGUUACUGAAAAUAUCCGUUAACAAUGGCAGUAAAACUUUGACAAGUAAACAACCAGUCCGUUGUCCUUUUCGACUGAGCGAAACUGAAAAUGUUACUGGUUUCAGCUCUGGUCGUACUAAUAGGACACUCGCUCGCCCAAGAAUGCCAAAAACGCGACUACGGCAACGACGGCCACGUUUGUGUGUGCAAUUCCACCUACUGCGAUACAGUACCACCUCCAAGCCGCGUGGAACCACCAUCGUACCUAAUCUACACUUCUAACAAAGCUGGCUUAAGGUUCGCAAAAUCCGAAGGACGGUUCAUUGAGAGCAACGAAAUCUCCGACAAAACCAUCCAAAUCCACCCCAACGAAAAGUACCAAGAGAUUUUUGGCUGGGGUGGUGCUUUCACUGACUCGACUGGUGUUAAUUUAAAUUCGCUGGAUGAGCCCGCACAAGAUAAUUUGCUGAGGGCGUACUUUUCGAACGACGGCAUUGAGUACAGUUUGUGUCGGGUACCCAUUGGUGGUACCGAUUUUUCGGAACGUGGGUACUCCUACGAUGACGGAGACGAAGACCCGAAGCUAGAGAAUUUUCAACUAGCUCCGGAAGAUUUCAAGCUUAAGAUACCGUUUAUCAAAAAAGCGCAAAAUUUGACGUGGGGGAAUUUGAGGUUUUUCGCUUCUGUGUGGACUGCUCCCAAGUGGAUGAAAACUAAUAGGGAGUAUAAUGGGAUGUGGGGGUUUUUGCGCUACGAAAUGUACCAAUCAUGGGCUGACUACUUUGUCAAGUUCUUUGACAAGUACAGCGAGCAAGGGAUUCAAUUUUGGGGGUUGGUCACAGGGAAUGAACCCAGUUUGGCUAUGGUUCCCUUCACGAAGAUUAAUUCAGUGGCAUGGACGCCCGCCAUGUUGUCAACUUGGGUUCGCGAUAAUUUAGGACCGACAAUCCGUAACUCAAGCUAUUCAAAAAUCAAGAUUAUGAUGCUAGAUGACCAACGACUUUUCUUACCGUGGUACCCGAAGCUCGUACUAAAUGACGAAACCACGCACAUGUACGUAGAUGGAAUUGCCGUACACUGGUACUACGACUUCCUAUUGUCACCGCGUUUAUUAACAGAAACUCAUGACAGUUUCCCUGAUAAGUUCCUUCUAGCAACGGAAGCUUGUCACGGUUGGACCUUUAGUAAGUACUUUCUCAGAUUACACAGAUUUCGACACAGGUGACAAACCUUUUCAAAAACACGUGGAUUUGGGCUUGUGAUUCCGUGGAGAAGAGUACGCGAAAGACAUAAUCCAGGAUGUACAAAACUGGGUUACCGGUUGGGUCGACUGGAAUAUGGCGCUAAAUCUUCAAGGAGGUCCCACGUACAUAGAAAACUUUGUAGACUCUCCAAUCAUAGUUAAUUCUUCAGCUGGAGAAUUUUAUAAGCAACCAAUGUUCUAUGCUUUAGGUCACUUCUCCAAAUUUGUACAAAGAGGUUCCAUCCGGUUAGGUUCUUCAACCUUUUGUGAUAAAGUCAUGGUUGUUGCUUUCCAAAGACCAGA
Zophobas morio is the source of this 1732-nucleotide RNA transcript. It is a transcript of the gene named putative glucosylceramidase 4, with no coding region annotated. The transcript has 7 exons. The record is from RefSeq and is a predicted model, not a curated record. Lineage: Eukaryota; Metazoa; Arthropoda; Insecta; Coleoptera; Tenebrionidae.